UGUCCUUGCUUAUCUCCCGAAUAGAAUAGAAAGACGAAGUCGGCUAUUUUUAACGUAUACGACAAUGAGCAGCUUGGGUGCCUCCUUGUGCCACCAAUGUGCCUGCUUGCUUACCAUCAUCUUCCAAUUAGAGGGUUGCUGCCGCCCAUAGCUUCCAUCAUAAACUUCUGAUCAUUAACAAAAGACUUCACGGUGGUUUUCCUCUAGAUUUGCCACCUCCUGGUUUAUAGCCUUGCCAGAUGCCACUAGACAUGUUUUUCCACUGAUAUACUAUACCACCGCCUCUCUUGUUUGUUUUACUUUAUAUUUCAAAAACGCUUUUUCUACUUCACACAACCACUAUCCAUGGCUCCAACUUCUGAAAUUUUGAGAAAACUCUUCUCAAUAUCGUAUGUACAAUAAACUACACCCCCAACACUGCGACAGCUGACAACCGGCAUAUCCUUCUUCCGUUGUUUCUUGAUACAAACCACAACCUUCUGUUCUUGAUAAUUUGCAACACAAGCAUUAUGUAUUCCAAUGUAAGUACACUUAGGGAAAAGAGAUGUGACUACUUUGGAGGCUUAAAUGUAUAUUUGAUUAUUGUAAAAAUUUGAAAAAGGGUUUUUCAUAAUCUUUGUUAUUUGAAGCAAACAGGGUUGUUGAAUGAGUAAUUUAUUAGGUUUGGUAUGAAUAAAUAUGGAUAACAUUCUUUGAACGUAUCUCAAAUCAGAUGAAGAGAAACAGAGGUAUGUGUUAAUUAUUGUCUGUUGAGUGGAAUUUGAUACACGUCGAUUAGGUGCUUAAAAUCCUCCAAUAAGAACCGUGGGCGGACAUUUUUAACCUUUCUUACAUAAGAGCCUUCAAAGAUGGGUUUGCUUCAACUGCCUAUUCUUUGUAACUUAUACUGCAUCAGCUGUUUGCCUCCUUCACACCACCACCUCAAUUACAUGCCUAAAGGUGAGUCACUUUCUCUCUUUUCUAACAUCAUUUCCUCUUCCACCACCUCCUUCUUUGUUUUGUGGCCUCAUAUCACUACAUCAGCUGAAGUCGUCGCAAUUUGGGCCAACUGGGUCGCCGGAGUCCAGGUAGCUAAUAAUGCUUGUUACCGCCUUAUCAGGAAAGUAGAACUUUGUGUUUCUAAUUAAUUGAAGAACCAAAGCUUGAACUAUAGCUUAAGGUUAAUUGAUUUGAAGUUAUGCCACUGAUCCUUCUCUCACAUCCGCAAGGCAAACCUUAAACAUAUCAAUAUAUACAACCAUCUCUCGGUAAGUUCUAUCUAAAGGUUUUUAGAUCAUCCACUUAUAUACUUUUUCUUUGAUUAAUUUUCUUGGAUUAUUUAUUUGAAAAAAAAAUAGAAUUGUUGCAACUUGUUAGAAUUUUAAAUGAUAAUCAAAGUUUAUUUGAUGGUCAUAGAUCAGUUGUUCGAUGAAAAGGAUAAACCAACUCUUAUGGUCAAUAAAUUGGUUCACUAUUGAAAUGGACCCACCUUGGAAUCCAUAUGAUUUGGAAACAAUCUUGCUAUUUGUCUUUCUUGUUGCUUUAUGUACAAUUUUUUCUAUGUUUGUGUUGGUGUUUGGUUGACGCAUCAUUAAGAUGAACUUUAUCUUCCCUUUUAUAGUGAAGAAAAUUAGUUAAAAGCAAGAAGGGGAGAGUUACAACUAUUAUAGUUUGGGGGAUAGAACUGUAUUUAUGUCACUGAGUAUGUUUCAGAUUAUGAUACCCAUUCUUUUGUACAUAUACGUGGAGAUUGUGUAUGUUAGUGAACCUUACUUUCUGAUCGGAGUGCCAACUGAAAGAUGAAGUUUCAAUGUGCAAGCAGUGAGGGUGUAGAUUAUACUGGUAGAAAACAUAGAAGAAGAGGGAUGCAACAUUCAAGGUAUUAAAAGUUCCUUUUUUUCAUUGGGUUACACAUAAAAUAGCAAUGUGUUUAUAACAGUUCCUUUUUUCUAUUACAUUGAAUUUCCACCGGUUUGAAUGCUUUAAUCGUUCAUAGUUUCUAGAUUCGUACUCAUAUGAACAUGUAAUUUAGUAAAUUAAGGUACAUAAUUGUAAGAUGACAUUUCAAUUUGAUGUCAUUUGUUAGAAGGUUUGACUUAUCAUGUUUUUGUUGCAAUUAUUUAUUACUACUAUGUUUCAUUGCUUUCAAGGAAAUAGUGGAAAUCUUCAAUUUAGUAGCGUCUACCCAAGAAAAUCAAAUUUAUUGCAUUUUGGUGUUAAUCUAAUAUGAUAUUAAUCCCAUGUGAUUAGUUAUAUUGUGUAUUUUAGGCACCAUAAGUCGAGAACCUAAGAACCUACAACUUGAGCAAUAACUUGGAUCUGGCAUAAUUAAUUCUUACUAAGAAUUUAUGAUGGUGUUGAAAUCCCCAAGUUUGAGACCAUUCCAUCAAAAUUGUCUGUGAGUUUCUUGAAUUCUCAUUUGGUAGUAAUUGUAUAUCUAUAAUUUUGAGUCAUUGCAGCUUACAAGUCCAGUAUCCAUUAAAGUUGGUAUAUUGGAGCUAUUGGGUAUUACGUAGUGCUUAUUUUUUUUAAUCAUUAAAUUAAUAAAAUAACUUAUUUUUAUCAUUGGGUUAUAAUUUUGAAAUAAAUUGAACUUCAAUUUUUUAAAUAUGAUAAGAUAUAUAAACAAUCAUUUUAGACUUUUGGAUGUUUUGAGUUACUUUCAUGUAUAGUAUGUAUAGUACUAAAUUUGAACCUCAAUCAUGAGUCUUUCACAUCAUGCAUGUAUGAUCGUGAUGAGGAAACAUCAAUUGGUGCUUCUGAUGACUUAAAGAUUAGUUGCUAAUUGCUCAAAGAUCUGGAUUUUGAGGGAUCUAUUUCCUACUUCCAGUUGAAUGAGGACCAGAAAGUCGUGCAAGGGUGGUAAGGAUUCUAGGCAUCUUCUUUAAUUGAAGAAUUAAUAAUGUCCAAAUUAGUCUUCAUCUCAUCUGAGGUUGGAUGAACCUAUAUAAUAUAUUCCAUGCGUAAGAGAUAAAUGAAGAAAGCAACAGGCGACAUACUUGAUAAAGGAGAAUGCACUGCCCGGAUGAUUACCGCUCUUAUUAGAAAAUGGAGUUAUAAUGGUGCAUUAUUGUCAUUAGCUUUUAUUUCAGUUAAUAUAAUCCAAAUUUGGCCUUCGCUUUUUGAAAUAUAAGGUUAUGCUUUGUGGAAAUUGUAUAACUAAGUUAUGUAAUUUGUGUUUGAAGUUUCACAUGUGGAACCAGUUAUUGGGAUAACAUCAUGCAAACUAAUUAACUGUUUGAUGGAAUUCUUGGAUGGAAUGAUCCAUUUUGUCACUUUAUUUUCUACAAUACAUUUUGAACCUUUCUUGGUUGCUUGUCCUGAACAGUUAUGUGAACCAAACUCAAAUGGGUUUUUAAAUGUAAAUGAUGUUUGUAAAAGUAAAUUACAUAAUCUGCCCUUUUAACGUUCAGUUUUCUUAUAUUGGUGAUAAAGUUUUGAUUAAUUUUUAUAGGUCGUGAUGAUGAGUUUGCAUCUUUCUGGUUGGAUUCAAGUAAAGUUUAGAUUAUCCACAUCUUGUCGAGGCAAAUUAGAUGGUUAUAUUAUCAAAAGAAAUUUUUAAUUUCUCUUUUUACAAUGCAACCGGUAUGUUUGUAAUUAUGGAAGAUGUAUCCUCUUUGUUUGAUCA
Long non-coding RNA from Lactuca sativa (garden lettuce), 3607 nucleotides. RefSeq lists it as uncharacterized. Lineage: Eukaryota; Viridiplantae; Streptophyta; Magnoliopsida; Asterales; Asteraceae. The record is from RefSeq and is a predicted model, not a curated record.